CUAACUUUACCAUUUGUUUCUAAUUUACCAUUUUGCUAACUAUUGAAGCCUUCGACCAUGAAUCUAUUUUAACUGUCUCUUAUCUGCUCUAUCUCCAUUUCUCAACUGCAAGAGCCGUUUUCCUCUACUCUGUUUGUUUCAGCCUUAAUCGAGCCCCCUUUCUUAUAUCGAAGUCUUCACAACGUUUCUCUCUCCUCUACUCUCUCUCUUUCUUCCAAUAGUCUUCGACCAUGAAUCUGUUUGUUGAAUAAAGAGAUAGGGAAAGAAAGGCAUAUCACAAACUCUCUCUUUGUUGAUCUUCAUAUAUCUAUAGGAGUUGGGCAGAGGAGUUCAAUUUUUAAAGAGGAUGCCUACGAACAGGCUGGGGUUUCAAUUUUGUUGAUGUAUUUACGAAAUUAGGGUUAGGGCUUUGAUGUGUAGUACAAAAUUGGGGUUAGGGUGGGGCGGUGACGCCGGUGAACCAAGUGUGGCAAGGCAUGAGUUUUAGUGAAGCUCUAGUAUUCCGGCAAGGUAAGAGUUUCAGACAGAGCAACGGUGGCACCAGAGGAGGAGACUCGAGGAUUAAGAAAAGAAAUCCUUGCCGACGUCGAAAGAGAAGUCCAGAAUUGCCACCGCCAUUCGUCCCAGCCCUACACACCUCAACAAGCCUAAGGUACAGGACUCAGGACUUGAAGAUUUCAUUGCCUUGGAUCGUUUGGUAGCUUUAUGUAUCAAACUUGUAUUCUUUGAUUCUACGUAUGUAAAGUGUACAUAAGUACACUCCUUUUAAUGCAUUUUACAUGUAUUACAUGAGGCCAAGGGCCAUUAACUUGAAAGGUUACAAGUAUGUUUCCUCUAAAACUUAAGUAUUGCCAUUGUAGCUUAUUUGUGAGAAAUGGAGGCUUUGUAUGCUAAAACUUGUUAAUGGAAUGUAAAGAGGCUUUAGGCCAAGU
Long non-coding RNA from Cornus florida, 932 nucleotides. RefSeq lists it as uncharacterized. Lineage: Eukaryota; Viridiplantae; Streptophyta; Magnoliopsida; Cornales; Cornaceae. The transcript has 4 exons. The record is from RefSeq and is a predicted model, not a curated record.